RNAcentral lists this ribosomal RNA (254 nucleotides) under uncultured organism. Its description in RNAcentral is "partial 16S ribosomal RNA". It matches the Rfam family "Bacterial small subunit ribosomal RNA", at positions 524 to 776 of the family's 1533-position model. The record is from RNAcentral.
UACGUAGGCUACGAGCAUUAUCCGGAAUUACUGGGCGUAAAGAGAUGCGUAGGCGUCUGAAUUAGUCUUUAGUUAAAGGCAUGGGCUUAACUCAUGUAGUGCUAAGGAUACGGUUCAGAUUGAGGGAGAUAGAGGGAGAAGGAACUUCUGGUGGAGUGGUGAAAUGCGUUGAUAUCAGAAGGAACACCAAUGGCGAAGGCAAUCUCCUGGGUCUUUCCUGACGCUAAGGCUCGAAAGCGUGGGGAGCGAAACGG